GAUGAACGCUGGCGGCGUGCCUAAUACAUGCAAGUCGAGCGAACAGACGAGAGUGCUUGCACUCUCUGACGUUAGCGGCGGACGGGUGAGUAACACGUGGGUAACCUACCUAUAAGACUGGGAUAACUUCGGGAAACCGGAGCUAAUACCGGAUAAUAUUUAGCUUCGCAUGAAGCAAUAGUGAAAGACGGUUCUGCUGUCACUUAUAGAUGGACCCGCGGUGUAUUAGCUAGUUGGUGAGGUAACGGCUCACCAAGGCAACGAUACAUAGCCGACCUGAGAGGGUGAUCGGCCACACUGGGACUGAGACACGGCCCAGACUCCUACGGGAGGCAGCAGUAGGGAAUCUGCCGCAAUGGACGAAAGUCUGACGGAGCAAUGCCGCGUGAGUGAAGAAGGUGUUCGGAUCGUAAAACUCUGUUGUAAGGGAAGAACAAGUACGUUAGUAACUGAACGUACCUUGACGGUACCUUACCAGAAAGCCACGGCUAACUACGUG
Molecule: ribosomal RNA, 499 nt
Filed under: uncultured bacterium
Lineage: Bacteria
Description: partial 16S ribosomal RNA
Rfam family: Bacterial small subunit ribosomal RNA
Source: RNAcentral